AGGUGGCCGAGCGGCUGAAGGCGCCCGCCUGCUAAGCGGGUAAUGGGUUUAUAGCUCAUUCGAGGGUUCGAAUCCCUCCCUCUCCG
Molecule: transfer RNA, 86 nt
Filed under: Leptospiraceae bacterium
Lineage: Bacteria; Pseudomonadati; Spirochaetota; Leptospiria; Leptospirales; Leptospiraceae
Description: tRNA-Ser
Rfam family: tRNA
About the family: Transfer RNA (tRNA) molecules are approximately 80 nucleotides in length. Their secondary structure includes four short double-helical elements and three loops (D, anti-codon, and T loops).
Source: RNAcentral